UACGAAGGGGGCUAGCGUUGUUCGGAAUUACUGGGCGUAAAGCGCACGUAGGCGGAUCGAUCAGUCAGGGGUGAAAUCCCAGGGCUCAACCCUGGAACUGCCUUUGAUACUGUCGAUCUGGAGUAUGGAAGAGGUGAGUGGAAUUCCGAGUGUAGAGGUGAAAUUCGUAGAUAUUCGGAGGAACACCAGUGGCGAAGGCGGCUCACUGGUCCAUUACUGACGCUGAGGUGCGAAAGCGUGGGGAGCAAACCGG
Molecule: ribosomal RNA, 253 nt
Filed under: uncultured bacterium
Lineage: Bacteria
Description: partial 16S ribosomal RNA
Rfam family: Bacterial small subunit ribosomal RNA
Source: RNAcentral